Molecule: long non-coding RNA, 4544 nt
Filed under: Hordeum vulgare
Lineage: Eukaryota; Viridiplantae; Streptophyta; Magnoliopsida; Poales; Poaceae
Description: long non-coding RNA (HVUL_LNC005665)
Source: RNAcentral
GCUUUGCAUAUUUAUUUUUUCUCAUAUGAGCAUCAUAUCUUGGAUCAAACGUACACACAUAAUGGACUUCUCAACCAUAUAGACUUAACAAAAACAUAUUACAUGCAACAUCAUCGUAGUCAAUUUCAUUCCACAAUUGACAAUCAAGUAACACACACAUAGAGUAAAACAACUUGAUCAUCGUCUCAGGAUCCAUAUAACACAACAUGUAAAAGUAAGUUAGACAUUGAGUAUAUUUCAUCUAUUUUCAUAACUCCAUCCUUUACGAAAGCAACGAAUCAUGUGUAAUUAACUUCUGUAUAUAACCAUAUUUUUCUCGUUAUAUUUUAAGCUUGAUCAUAUCUUCAUUGAUACUAUGCACCUACAGUAUAAUCCAAUAAAUCGGAAACUGUCAAAGUAUCAAUAAAUGGGGCGCACAAUUAACAUCACAAAGAUGCAUCACCAUGUAUCACAAGCUAUGCAUACAACUUUUCCUACCAUGACUUCAUGUACCAAAUAAUGAAAAGUAACCACAACAAUCUUAUGAUACAUUCAAUAUGUAACAUAAUUGUGAAGCUCCACAUGCCCUACAACCCACGAAUCACCUCAAGUUCUUAUAGCGUUGUGUAACAAAACCUGCACCUCACAAAUGAUAUGUAUUAAAAGUAAAAGGUGUAUGCUCUAAAGUGAAACCUAGAGAAAGAAUAAGUAGAUUAAGCCGCAGUGGUGUGUAUGUCUGAUGUGUGUGAAGGCCUCCUGAAUCCUGACUCACACAUGCUAAGCACAAGUUGGAGGAAUAAUAAUCUCUUCAUUUAAACAAGACACUACUGCGGUGAAGCUAUAAAAAUGUUUGUCGUUAUAUAAAUGCUUUAAUUAAGUAUUUAAGAACAUGAAUUAAUUUCAUUCUUAGUGGGCUGCAGACUGCAAUCGAAGUUAUAAAAAUGAUAUAGCAAGGGAACACUAAUAAAUUUUUUGCUGGGCCAAUUAGCAGACAAAAUCUUAAGUAAUAAGCAAUAAUAAAAAUAAUCAGGCAUGCAGUAUUUAUGUAUAUGAAAAGUUUAGCAAGCUCGGAGGAUAUACUCUAUUACUCAAUAACAGCGAGUUGAGCUUGCAAGCAAUGUGAAUAAGAGGUUAGUCACGGGAUCUUGUAUUACGGAACGAGUAAAGAGACUUGCCGGUAACGAGGUUGAACUAGGUAUGGAGAUGCCGACGAUCGAAAAUCUCGGGCACAUAACAUAUCGAAGGACAAAGGGGACAACACAUGGGAUUGGUUGAAUCCUUGACAUUGAGGUUCAACCGAUGAAAGAUCUUCGUAGAAUAUGUAGGAACUAAUAUGGACAUCCAGGUCCCACUGUUGGUUAUUGACCGGAGAGUGUCUCGGUCAUGUCUGCAUAGUUCUCGAACCCGUAUGGUCUACAUACUUAAGGUUCGGUGACGAUAUAAGCACAGUGUUGGUGACUGAAAGGUUGUUCCGAGUCCAGGGUGAGAUCCCGAACGUGACGAGGAACUCCGGAAUAGUCCGGAGGUGAAGAUUGAUAUAUAGGAUGAAGGUCAUCGGAGUCCGAAAGUGUUCUGAGGCGUACCGAGGGUUUUACGGAGUACCAAAAGGGGUUUCGGGAGGCCCCGACAAUUGUUUGGGGGCCUCAUGGGCCAAGGAGAGGGGGCACCGCAUCCCACCAAGGGGCUGGGCGAAGCCCCUCUCCCCAACCACUUCAGUCAAAGGGGAUGGGCCUCCUUGGGGCGCAGGCCAGCCCAACUGGGGUGGCAAGGCACCCAAGUGGGGGGGCACCCUAACCCUAGCCGCCGCCCCUCCUCCCUUGGUUGCCAGCCCCUAGGGGGUAACCUUAGGGCGCCCUCCCCUCUCUCUUCCUCCUAUAUAUAGACUUCCUCUUAUAUAUAGAGAGGUAGGCACUAGUAGGAAAAACCUUAUAGACAGUCACUUACUAGUAGCGUUGGUUUUUACCACAUGCUACUGGUACUUACUAGUAGCGCUAAUUUUUAUCACUUGCUACUGCUAAGUUGAUAGUAGUAGCGCGCAGUAUAAACCCACGGUACUACUAAGUGGUGUUCACUCUACCCCCGGGGACAAGCCAUACUAGUAGCACGGGUUAUAAAACAAGCGCUACUGCUAAGUUGAUAGUAGUAGCGUGGGUUUUCACCACUCGCUACUACUACUUACUAGUAGCGCGGGAUUUAAUAAAAGCGCUACUACUAAGUGGUCUUCAUUACACGGGGUAUAAAAUCCCCAUCUCCUCUCCCAAAUCCCUCCUCUCUCAUGUCACUCUCCCCCUCUCUCCGUAGGCUCUCUCACAGGGCUCCUGCCCAUUCGCGCAUCCUCCAUGGUGCUGAAAGAGGAAGCCGCCACGCGUCGCCGGCGUCCAGGACCUCACCGGUCUUCCCCUGCUGGAGCACCUCGCCACCGGCUACCAACCCCGAUGCUCCCUCCAUCUCCUUCCUCUCUACCUCGUUUCUCCUUAUCUAUCUCUCCCUCCGGUUUGACUCACCCUCCUAUGUCCGUGCUCGUGCAGGUCAUCGACAUGGAUGAUCCGGAGCUCUUUACCUUGGUCGAGAAGAGUAGCCCCACAACGCCGCCUUGCUCUGCCCUAGAUCCGGGACCUAUCCAGCAGCCGCCAUCAGAUCUGGUCUAUCGCUGCGAGUCCACCCUUUUCACUGAGCAAGUGAGCAUCCUGUUUAUAUUGAAUUUGUGUUUAUGCACCCUUUUCGCUGCAAACAUAGUGGUACUCAAUGUACCUUACACCCAUAAUGUUGCGAAUAAAAUUGUAUUGCCGGAAUAGUUUCUUAUCCUAUCGUGUAAAUUGCUUACAACGCCUGUUCCAAACAGUCAAUUUGGGGUGUAGUUCGUUUGGCACAAUAAUCCAUCCUGUUCUGUUGGAUUGGUAGGGUACUUCAGUCCAACAAUGCAGUUUCUGCAAGGCAUGGUCAUUCUUUAAAGCAUCCAUAGAACUGGAAGGGCGACUGAAUUCCUUGAAAGAGACAUGAAGUAGGGUGGGUAAUCCAUAAUGCCCAGUUAAGAAUUAAGAGAUGCAUGGAUUACUAAUAUUCCCUCGUUCCUAAAUAUAAGUCUUUUUAAAUAUUUCACUAAAAGACUAUAUACGGAGUAAAAUGAACGGAAGGAGUAGUAUUCAUGAAGCAUUCCAUCUGGAAACAAUGCUUUGGACGAAUGUUUAUGAUAAUCAAGACCUUGAAAGGUAGCACCUUCUUUUGAUGUCAUCCAUUCAAAGCCUGGUCACAAGAAUCUACAAGUGCGCGAUAUAAGAUAUGAUAAACAUAUUCUUCUACUUGUUGUACAGAACAGAAACAAGUGAAUAUGAGCUGAAAAUGGUUAUCCAAAUCAGGAAGCAGACAUGGACGGCAAGGAGCCACUAAUUUGGCCGAGCAGAAUCAGUAAUCAUUAACAUACAUCGAGGUGCUCUAGCUGCUAAUUUUACCCCAAAAUCCAUGGACAGGAUGCACUCCAAGCAUUGAGCCAUGUGAUACGCGUGCAGCAAAGAGGGGAAAGGACAAUCCCGGAACGAGGCCAACCACAAACAGAGGACGGCAGACCUACCACACAUGAGAACGGCAAAGUUUGGAGGUGAAAUCAUAGCAUACCAAUACCAUGCUUGCACGACGGAUCAGGUAAAGAACCGGUACUGGCACUGGUACACACAAUCAUCACAUACUUGAAGGUUCCAAUUCAAUCGCAUCACUCAACAACAAUAGGACGAUAAUCGUCAUCAGCAAAGGAAGAGAAAAAGAAACGAAAAAACCUCAAUUUGUCCUAGUAGCAAAAAUUUGGCGGCGCGUUGGCCGCCAAUCGCCGAAUUAAUAGGGUAGCAGCUCGCUCGCAUCUCCCCGCGAAUCGCACGAAGAGAAAGAAUCCCCCGAGGAACAGGGGGGUUUCAGCGGUGCGCCGUGACGAGCGUCUCGAUGAAGCGCAGGCCGUCGAACCGCGGCGCGAACUUGUCGUCCGUGACGCCGCUCCCCGCGCUCGACGACGGGGGUUCCUGCGGAUAAGCAGCGCGUAAGAAGAGAGCGUCUCAAGAACAAGAAGCCGUCCGCCGUGCCCGUGAUCCCAAAUCGAGGACCGGGGAAAGGGGAUUCUUUGGGGGAGGGAGGGAGGGGAAGGUUGGGGGAGAAGGCGGGCGAGGGAGGAGGCCGUGAUCCGUACCCGCUGGCGGAGGNUGGUGGGGACGAGGCGCGGAGGCUGGAAAUUCCUUGCGUGGGCAGGUCGGGCUGGAAUGGAGGUGGCGGACGGCUAGCCGCGUAUUUUUUUAUAGUCUACACGCUCUACCGGACUUGAGCGCGGAAUUUAACGGGAUUGAAAUGUUGGAGGAGCCGUGUCCUGGCGGGCCGGGCGUGAAACUCGCCGGCGAAUGGGCCCGCCCGAUGGAGGGAGCACGAGAUGCGUUCAGCUGGUCCUUCGCACUGAACAAACGCGCAGCACCGAGUCAGAGACGGAGACCAAACGCUGGUCAGCGAUGAGCCAGGGGCAAAGUCAGACGACGCGGCGUCGCUACGCCGAGGGAGCAAAAUCAUUCUUGUUUUGGCCCUCUUUGAUUUGC